AGAGCGAACGCUGGCGGCAGGCUUAACACAUGCAAGUCGAGCGCCCCGCAAGGGGAGCGGCAGACGGGUGAGUAACGCGUGGGAACAUACCCUCCGGUUCGGAAUAGCUCAGGGAAACUUGGAUUAAUACCGGAUACGGCCUAGCGGCGAAAGAUUCAUCGCCGGAGGAUUGGCCCGCGUUCGAUUAGCUAGUUGGUGAGGUAACGGCUCACCAAGGCGACGAUCGAUAGCUGGUCUGAGAGGAUGAUCAGCCACAUUGGGACUGAGACACGGCCCAAACUCCUACGGGAGGCAGCAGUGGGGAAUAUUGGACAAUGGGCGCAAGCCUGAUCCAGCCAUGCCACGUGAGUGAUGACGGCCUUAGGGUUGUAAAGCUCUUUCGCUAGGGACGAUAAUGACGGUACCUAGACAAGAAGCCCGGCUAACUUCGUGCCAGCAGCCGC
Molecule: ribosomal RNA, 443 nt
Filed under: uncultured bacterium
Lineage: Bacteria
Description: SSU rRNA
Rfam family: Bacterial small subunit ribosomal RNA
Source: RNAcentral